GCCCUUAGAGUUUGAUCAUGGCUCAGGAUGAACGCUGGCGGCGUGCUUAAUACAUGCAAGUCGAACGAAGUCAGUAGCAAUAUUGGCUGAGUGGCGAACGGGUGAGUAACGCGUUGGUGACCUGCCCCGAAGAGAGGGAUAACAGUUCGAAAGGAUUGCUAAUACCCCAUGUGGUCGUUUGGAUUAGAUACCUUAUGACUAAACGGAUUUAUUCGCUUCGGGAGGGGCCUGCGUCCCAUCAGCUAGUUGGUAGGGUAAUGGCCUACCAAGGCGAUGACGGGUAGGGGACCUGAGAGGGUGGCCCCCCACAAUGGAACUGAAACACGGUCCAUACACCUACGGGUGGCAGCAGUAGGGAAUAUUGGUUAAUCUGCGAAAGCGGGAACCAGCAACGCCGCGUGCACGAUGACGGCCUUCGGGUUGUAAAGUGCUUUUUGAAAGGAUGAGGAAGGACAGUACUUUCAGAAUAAGCUUCGGCUAACUACGUGCCA
RNAcentral lists this ribosomal RNA (491 nucleotides) under uncultured bacterium. RNAcentral's name for it is "bacterial SSU rRNA". It matches the Rfam family "Bacterial small subunit ribosomal RNA", at positions 1 to 510 of the family's 1533-position model. The record is from RNAcentral.